GCCAUACAUGGUAUAGUGGUUUUUGAACAUUGGACUAGGACUCUGGAGACCAGGGUUCAAAUCCCUGCUCAGCCA
Non-coding RNA from Phrynosoma platyrhinos (Desert horned lizard), 75 nucleotides. Lineage: Eukaryota; Metazoa; Chordata; Lepidosauria; Squamata; Phrynosomatidae. The record is from the annotation of a GenBank genome assembly.